RNAcentral lists this unclassified non-coding RNA (240 nucleotides) under soil metagenome. Its description in RNAcentral is "partial contains 5.8S ribosomal RNA, internal transcribed spacer 2, and large subunit ribosomal RNA". The record is from RNAcentral.
AACAAGGCGUACCUGCGGACCUGCGGAAGGAUCAUUACGAGAGUGUCACCACUCCCAACCCAUUGUUUACCUACCCGUCCACCGUGCUUCGGCAGGCAGCCCUGUGGGACAGAGCCUCGCCCCCUUUCGCGGGGGGUGCCUGCCGCUUGCCAACCAAAACUCUAGCUGUUUUAGUACCAUCUGAGUCUUCCACAAAUGAACAAAACUUUCAGCAAUGGAUCUCAGAUCGGAAGAGCACAC